Non-coding RNA from Danio rerio (zebrafish), 523 nucleotides. Lineage: Eukaryota; Metazoa; Chordata; Actinopteri; Cypriniformes; Danionidae. The record is from Ensembl.
AUGAUGCUAAAUAUAAAUAGAUCUGUGUGUGACACCAAUGUUUGUUCUUGUUUUCUCGCCUCAGUUUGGUUAAGAAGAAAGCAGAAACCACAGACUUCGCCAGGAUGAAACCGGCACAGAAACGAAAACAUCUUGAAACGGAAGUGUCUUUCUUCAGCGAAGCCUUGAAAAAUCCCUCCUUCAAGAUCAACCCUUUAGCUGCGAUCGGUGAUCAUCUGCGAAAACGACUCAAACAGGAAGACGAACAGAGUUAAUCACAACUUCUGGUAGACUACAGGAACUACAACUUCUUAAAUACACUCAUUUGGUGAAAUGAAAUAAGACAGUUUUGUAGUACAUAAAAUGAUUAGAAUGCAAAGAAGAAAAAAAAGCAUAAUCUGCAUUAUCUGUCACAUCAUCAAAGCACAGAGAACAGUUAAUUGCAGUUUCCUAAUUUUAUAAACGAGCGAUCAGGUUAUGUGAUAUUUAAUGACUGUAUUCAGUUUGUCUGUUUCGGGCUAUAAAUAAAUCUGUUAGAAAAGUA